AACGAACGCUGGCGGCAGGCCUAACACAUGCAAGUCGAACGCUCUCUUCGGAGGGAGUGGCAGACGGGUGAGUAACACGUGGGAACCUACCCCUUGGUACGGAAUAACUGAUGGAAACGUUAGCUAAUACCGUAUGAGCGCUGAGGCGGAAAGAUUUAUCGCCAAGGGAUGGGCCCGCGUAGGAUUAGCUAGUUGGUGGGGUAAAGGCCUACCAAGGCGACGAUCCUUAGCUGGUCUGAGAGGAUGAUCAGCCACACUGGGACUGAGACACGGCCCAGACUCCUACGGGAGGCAGCAGUGGGGAAUAUGGGACAAUGGGCGCAAGCCUGAUCCAGCCAUGCCGCGUGAGUGAUGAAGGCCUUAGGGUUGUAAAGCUCCUUCACCUGGGAAGAUAAUGACGGUACCAGGAGAAGAAGCCCCGGCUAACUUCGUGCCAGCCGCCGCCGUAA
This 449-nucleotide ribosomal RNA is filed under the name uncultured bacterium. Its description in RNAcentral is "partial 16S ribosomal RNA". It matches the Rfam family "Bacterial small subunit ribosomal RNA", at positions 29 to 523 of the family's 1533-position model. The record is from RNAcentral.